Molecule: ribosomal RNA, 536 nt
Filed under: uncultured bacterium
Lineage: Bacteria
Description: partial 16S ribosomal RNA
Rfam family: Bacterial small subunit ribosomal RNA
Source: RNAcentral
UGGGGAAUAUUGCACAAUGGGCGCAAGCCUGAUGCAGCAACGCCGCGUGAGGGACGACGGCCUUCGGGUUGUAAACCUCUUUUAGUAGGGAAGAAGCGAAAGUGACGGUACCUGCAGAAAAAGCACCGGCUAACUACGUGCCAGCAGCCGCGGUAAUACGUAGGGUGCGAGCGUUGUCCGGAAUUAUUGGGCGUAAAGAGCUCGUAGGCGGUCUGUAGCGUCUGCUGUGAAAACCCGAGGCUCAACCUCGGGCCUGCAGUGGGUACGGGCAGACUAGAGUGCGGUAGGGGAGAAUGGAAUUCCUGGUGUAGCGGUGGAAUGCGCAGAUAUCAGGAGGAACACCGAUGGCGAAGGCAGUUCUCUGGGCCGUAACUGACGCUGAGGAGCGAAAGCGUGGGGAGCGAACAGGAUUAGAUACCCUGGUAGUCCACGCCGUAAACGUUGGGCGCUAGAUGUGGGGACCAUUCCACGGUUUCCGUGUCGCAGCUAACGCAUUAAGCGCCCCGCCUGGGGAGUACGGCCGCAAGGCUAAAACU